UAAAGCGUGCGCAGGCGGUUUGUAAGACUGUCGUGAAAUCCCCGGGCUCAACCUGGGAAUGGCGAUGGUGACUGCAAGGCUAGAGUUUGGCAGAGGGGGGUAGAAUUCCACGUGUAGCAGUGAAAUGCGUAGAUAUGUGGAGGAACACCGAUGGCGAAGGCAGCCCCCUGGGUCAAAACUGACGCUCAUGCACGAAAGCGUGGGGAGCAAACAGGAUUAGAUACCCUUGU
RNAcentral lists this ribosomal RNA (230 nucleotides) under uncultured bacterium. RNAcentral's name for it is "partial 16S ribosomal RNA". It matches the Rfam family "Bacterial small subunit ribosomal RNA", at positions 561 to 791 of the family's 1533-position model. The record is from RNAcentral.